CAGAGGUGGCAAGCGUUGUUCGGAAUUACUGGGCGUAAAGGGCGCGUAGGCGGCCAUCUAAGUCAGACGUGAAAUCCCCGGCUUAACCUGGGAACUGCGUCUGAUACUGGACGGCUCGAGUUUGGGAGAGGGAUGUGGAAUUCCAGGUGUAGCGGUGAAAUGCGUAGAUAUCUGGAGGAACACCGGUGGCGAAGGCGGCAUCCUGGACCAACACUGACGCUGAGGCGCGAAAGCUAGGGGAGCAAACGGGAUUAGAUACCCCGGUAGUCCUAGCCCUAAACGAUGAAUGCUUGGUGUGGCGGGUAUCGAUCCCUGCCGCGCCGAAGCUAACGCAUUAAGCAUUCCGCCUGGGGAGUACGGUCGCAAGGCUG
This 371-nucleotide ribosomal RNA is filed under the name uncultured organism. RNAcentral describes it as "bacterial SSU rRNA". It matches the Rfam family "Bacterial small subunit ribosomal RNA", at positions 526 to 896 of the family's 1533-position model. The record is from RNAcentral.